ACCGAUCCACCACCCACCUAUUCUUCUUGUCCCUCUCCCCCUCGCAAAUCGGAGGCCAAGUACACUGCCCACCCAACCAAGUCAGGAGCAGAACAAGUAGUACGGGCUGUGUUUUCUGCGACGGCGAGCCAAGAGCAGAACAAGUAGUACGGGGCGUGUUCUCUGCGACAGCGAGCAGACCGGAUCGGCGGCGCCAUGUCGCACGACGAGCUCGCCGACAAGGUACGCAGGUUCCUCCCGAUCCGUCCGCGCUAGCUGGCUGGGGCGGCUCCUUGCGGCUGGGCGUCCGAAUUCCGCCCGAUUUGCUUCGACGGAGUGUUUGGUUUACCUGGUUCUGAUGAAUGCGUGGUUUCCGUGUGGCAGGAGCCGUCGUCCUCCGAGGAGUUUCAGCUCGCGCCGACGGAUUCCAAGUUCCGGAGCCUCAGCCCUGCACCGAUUCCGAUCCCAGCUUCUCCGGGCAUCAGAUCAUUGGUCG
Molecule: long non-coding RNA, 475 nt
Filed under: Zea mays
Lineage: Eukaryota; Viridiplantae; Streptophyta; Magnoliopsida; Poales; Poaceae
Description: long non-coding RNA (ZMAY_LNC003776)
Source: RNAcentral